RNAcentral lists this ribosomal RNA (82 nucleotides) under Paenibacillus sp. CGMCC 1.18879. The record is from RNAcentral. Lineage: Bacteria; Bacillati; Bacillota; Bacilli; Caryophanales; Paenibacillaceae.
CAUCCCGAACACGACCGUUAAGCCCUCCAGCGCCGAUGGUACUUGGACCGAAGGGUCCUGGGAGAGUAGGAAGCUGCCAAGC